This is a non-coding RNA of Misgurnus anguillicaudatus (oriental weatherfish), 569 nucleotides long. The record is from RefSeq and is a predicted model, not a curated record. Lineage: Eukaryota; Metazoa; Chordata; Actinopteri; Cypriniformes; Cobitidae.
UGAGUUUACACCAACCGCGUUUUGGGCGUCAAAAUCGUGUCUACCGCGCCUAGUUUGCCGCUUGAACACUUUGAAUGCAUUCGCGCGUGUAGAGCGGAGUAGACGCGCGGAAAAAGCAAGCAUUUGACGCGCUUCAGAGGCAAACUCUGCUUCUUGUGGGAGGGGCAAGUGCUAUGCGGUUGUCUGUUUGCAAGAUGACUGAUGUUGAUUGUGCAUUUAUCCAGAGAGUUACCGGUUUGUAUGUGGUAACCUUACUAUAGGGGGAAAUAAACAGCGCACGUCGAUAAACGUCACGUGACUCAAAAGUGAAAUGUGUAUUACAGCUUACCAGCGAGGUCCUUUUUAUUCCUGUCUCAUCUAUAGAAAUAAGAACUUGUGUCGUAUAGCUCCGGGUGACUGCUUAUGGACAAUAACAAGCGUUGGUUGAAUGAGUGACUCCGGGCGGGGCUGCCACCACAGCAGCAAGCAGGCUCCUGAUUGGUUAACGCGGCGCGAAAUUCCGCCAAAGUUCAAAUUUUUCAACUCGGGCGUUAGCCGCAAAUUCGCGUGAACCGCAAAAUGCACAAAAA